Molecule: long non-coding RNA, 1560 nt
Filed under: Homo sapiens (human)
Lineage: Eukaryota; Metazoa; Chordata; Mammalia; Primates; Hominidae
Description: long non-coding RNA NONHSAT168645.1
Source: RNAcentral
CCUACAUGUAGUAUUCAAAAUCAAUUAUUAAUAACCAAUAAAAGACUCAACACAUUUUCAUUGCGUGUUCUUCUUUAAGACACCUAAACUCAUAUCUCAUAAUUUCUGAAUCCGCAAUCCCUAUUCAUUAAUUGAUUACAGUUUUUGAGUUGUUGGAAAGCCUAGCCCUCUCAGAUUCAGGGUUCAGAAAGAAUUACCAGGUCUGGUAAAAUUGUCUGACUAGCCCUUAGCCUCAGAAUGGUCAACUUCAUAGUAUAAGCAAAGAAAGUGGUGAUCUCAUAUAGUCAGCUUUUUCAUGAACAUUAAUUCAUGGUGAAUGCACUCACAGCAACCAAAAUCCAAAAAAAAAAAAUGUUCAUCUAAAACCUUAAACAUUAGCUUGGCUCAUUGAGUUCUUGGUACAACCUGCUUUUCAUAUGACACAGUAUCAAACAUGAUUUCAGAUGAAAUGGGUGGUGUUAAUAUUGUGUUAAAGAAAAAAAGAAUGGAAGACACUGUCUAGAAAAGCCCAACUUUGCAUUUGCCAUCAGAAAAUGAGAACUGUGGUGGGUGGGAGGACAAGGAGGCCAGGAGCCAAGUGCCUUUUCUUGCCUUGCCCAUAUUUGCUCUUAAACCAACAUCGUAAACAUAAUGGCUACCAGUGUGAAUACCAAACAAUGGAAAUUGCACAGAACUUGAUAUUAUCUCAGCCAAGAAGAUAGUUUGGAUCUGCAAGUGAUGCUGCACUCAAAAAUGUGGAUAUGCCCUCUGAAAGCGUUCCAGCCUUCUUUUCCCCUGUGUGUGUGUCGUGUGCAAACUCACACUCUUCCUUAAUGCUACGGCUCUGUGUUUGUCCCUCAGACAAGUUGGAUGGCUUGAGGACUGGUACUAAAAGGAAACGUGACUGGGAGGCCAUUGCCAGCAGAAUGGAGGAUUAUCUUCAGCUCCCCGAUGAUUAUGAUACUCGUGCUUCUGAGCCUGGGAAGAAGAGGGUCAGAUGGGCAGACCUGGAAGAGAAGAAGGAUGCAGAUAGGAAAAGGGCCAUAGGUUUUGUGGUCGGACAGACUGAUUGGGAGAAGAUCACAGAUGAAAGUGGUCACCUGGCUGAAAAAGCCCUCAAUCGAACCAAAUAUAUAUGAGACUUAGUUUUUGAACGGAGUCAUUAUUCCUCUAAGGUGGUUCGCUUUGAGGUGGUCUGAAGCCAAGGCCUCGCGGAGCUUCUUUGUGUGUCACCUUGCUUCCACGUUUCAGUUCUUGUUUUGUUUCUACUGCUUUAGUUUUUUUUAAAGUUCUCCAGUGUCCCCAAGAGGUAUUAGAAUCUUGCUGUACCCAAGCAAGACGUUAAUUUUUCUUUUAACUGUUUUGGGGAGGGAGGGAGUGAUAGCUUAACUGCUGAAGCCAGGCGGGGGUCUGCUGGAGGAUUCCAACAGAGAGUAUUUCCUCCACUGUACAAUGUCACAGACUAUCUCUAUCAUCAUUGCUUUGUGGCUGUUUCUGUUUUUUACUGUAUGUAACUGGUAGCUGAUUGUACUAGGAUUAAAAACAAUAAACUUUCAUGAUAAAGCCGAUGAGAUUCAUGGG